UGUACAAUUAUAGCUGUUCGCCA
Molecule: non-coding RNA, 23 nt
Filed under: Arabidopsis thaliana (thale cress)
Lineage: Eukaryota; Viridiplantae; Streptophyta; Magnoliopsida; Brassicales; Brassicaceae
Source: RNAcentral